This 250-nucleotide ribosomal RNA is filed under the name uncultured prokaryote. Its description in RNAcentral is "partial 16S rRNA". It matches the Rfam family "Bacterial small subunit ribosomal RNA", at positions 525 to 775 of the family's 1533-position model. The record is from RNAcentral.
ACGUAGGGGGCAAGCGUUAUCCGGAAUUAUUGGGCGUAAAGAGUGCGUAGGCGGUUUUUUAAGCGAGAGGUGAAAGGCAAUAGCUUAACUAUUGUCAGCCUUGUGAACUGGUAGACUUGAGUGAAGGAGAGGAAAGUGGAAUUCCUAGUGUAGCGGUGAAAUGCGUAGAUAUUAGGAGGAACACCAGUGGCGAAGGCGACUUUCUGGACUGUAACUGACGCUGAGGCACGAAAGCGUGGGUAGCAAACAG